Gorilla gorilla gorilla (western lowland gorilla) is the source of this 579-nucleotide long non-coding RNA. RefSeq lists it as uncharacterized. The transcript has 3 exons. Lineage: Eukaryota; Metazoa; Chordata; Mammalia; Primates; Hominidae. The record is from RefSeq and is a predicted model, not a curated record.
CAGCAGCUGAAACAGCUUUGCGGCCUUGCUGUAAUGAAGAUCUGCCAGCACUCGGUGUUGUUUCCUAAGGUGUUCAUCACCAACCUAGAACCAAACCAAAACAAGCAACAAAUCCUUCACGAGAAAGAAAGAAAACAACUGUGUAAGCAGACAUCAGUGUAAACCUUAGUACUGUCUCUUGAUAAGAGGAGGAUGGCAGUGACAGGAGUGUGGUGGCGAGCCAGUCACCUGCAGUCAACCACGGCUCAUUGCUCUCACCAUGCCUGUUACAUGAAGAGGGAGGGACUCCAGGGCUAUGCACAGAGAGAAGGCCCUGUGUGGACACAGCGACAAGGCGGGUUAUCUGCAAGCCAAGGUAGAAGCAUGAGAGGAAUCCAACGCUGCUGCCACCUUGAUCUUGAACUUCCAGUCUCCAGAUCUAUGACACAAUAAAUUUCUCGUUAUGUCACCUAGUCUAUGAUAUUUCAUUAUAGCAGCCCCAGCUCACUAACAUAGCUUGAUGAAGUCUCUCACCAUCCUGCUCUGCCUCACCCAGGAUGGGAACCAUCCCUUUGUCCAGCACAUUCAUGCUGUAUGCAC